Molecule: ribosomal RNA, 255 nt
Filed under: uncultured bacterium
Lineage: Bacteria
Description: partial 16S ribosomal RNA
Rfam family: Bacterial small subunit ribosomal RNA
Source: RNAcentral
GACGAGGGAUCCUAGCGUUGUUCGGAAUUAUUGGGCGUAAAGCGGGUGUAGGCGGGCUUAUAAGUCAGGUGUGAAAUCCCAGGGCUCAACCCUGGAAGUGCACUUGAUACUGUAAGUCUUGAAUGUGGUAGAGGUUACUGGAAUUCCUGGUGUAGUGGUGAAAUACGUAGAUAUCAGGAGGAACACCGGUGGCGAAGGCGGCCAUCUGGACCGAUACUGACGCUGAGGCGCGAAAGCGUGGGGGAGCAAAACAGG